RNAcentral lists this ribosomal RNA (253 nucleotides) under uncultured bacterium. RNAcentral describes it as "partial 16S ribosomal RNA". It matches the Rfam family "Bacterial small subunit ribosomal RNA", at positions 524 to 776 of the family's 1533-position model. The record is from RNAcentral.
GACAGAGGGUGCAAACGUUGCUCGGAAUUACUGGGCGUAAAGCGCGCGCAGGUGGUUCCUUAAGUCUGAUGUGAAAGCCCACGGCUCAACCGUGGAGGGUCAUUGGAAACUGGGGAACUUGAGUGCAGAAGAGGAAAGUGGAAUUCCAAGUGUAGCGGUGAAAUGCGUAGAGAUUUGGAGGAACACCAGUGGCGAAGGCGACUUUCUGGUCUGUAACUGACACUGAGGCGCGAAAGCGUGGGGAGCAAACAGG